This is a long non-coding RNA of Scylla paramamosain (green mud crab), 2142 nucleotides long. RefSeq lists it as uncharacterized. Lineage: Eukaryota; Metazoa; Arthropoda; Malacostraca; Decapoda; Portunidae. The record is from RefSeq and is a predicted model, not a curated record. The transcript is spliced from 4 exons.
CCCCCGAGCUUCAGGAGGGUUACUUGUUCCUACUAGUGUCCCGGAGCCUCCGCCAGUCACCUGAGAUUGGCUGUUGUUGCCACACCACACCACCACUGACACGCUCUCACGUGGAGAACAUAUAGAUCUUAUUUUAAACAGAGUAACACGUAAAUGACCUUGAUGCGUGUUUGAGGCACGCAGACGCGUCAGGCGUGGCACUGGCGGCAGUGAUGGUGUUUUUAUGGUGAUCCAUACCUCCACCACCAUCCACUCACCAGGAGGACAGUAAAACCAGUAACAAAAGCAUUGGUGACCACAGCGACAUCAAACAACUCACCACUCCUUGCAUCUAAAAAUACGUGCACGCUAAACCCACAAAGGUUGGAGGCUGAUGAUCGCUUAAUUACGUCGGUGAACAAACAUGGUGGCCGUUCGGCAGCGGCCGCUAAUAAAUCGGCGGUCGUUGUGUGGCACGAAUAUUUAUCGUUCAGAGUCUCUUGCGGUCUGCGUCAACAGAUUUCAUGAAUGAAAGACUAAUGUGACGGGUAUGAUUAAUGAUCGAGUGACCGUCGUGGCCGUGGGAAAGGGGAGGCAGAGAUAAGGUUAAGGUGGCGGGCCUCCUCUCCGGAAAAUAGUGCUAUGGAAAACUUUAGUGGUCAGAGUAUCUCUGUCUCCCCAAGCGAUCACCAUGGUUAUGCCCGCUCUGGCCAUGGCCCUGCACAGGGAGGGAGUCGCCGGUACGCUCGCUCGCUCGCUCGCUCUCUCUUUCUCCCUCUCUCCACGUGUAGUAACACCUCCCUCCUUUCCCAACCACUCCUGCCUUCGCUGUACCCUCACGUGCUGCUAUUGCUGAAGCGUCUGUCACUCGUUCAAGAAUGUGGCGCAUGUAUACGCACAAAAAGGAACUAAAAAUGAAGAGUACGCUUUUGAGGAAAUAGUAGUGCAAAAUGUUCCAAAUAGGCAACUCUGCAUGGGUUGCUGGUUGCAACUUGGUAACUCGGCGCUCGGGAGUUUAGUGCUGAGAUGACUCUAUAAGAGGGGACUGCUACGGUCUCUCGCCACACUCCGCCUCCUGUAGCAGUCAUGGGAGUGACUUAGAGGAACCAGGAACGCGCACUGGCUCAUUCACUGGCACUACUGAAAAGAGUUACGCGCUGUGUUGUGGAGUGUUGUGCUGCGCCGAGGACGCUCGCCCGCCCUGAGCGAUGCCUCGGAAAUCUGCAUGUUUUACACCUGACCAGAGAGCAGAACCAUCAGUGUUGCGAGUGCAGAAGACGACCUCAGUGAAGCGCUGUGCGAUGAAUAUUACCUACCGGUGCAGUCUAGCUCCAAGUUUAUAAUUACCUGAAAUUUCCCGCUCAAGACAACCAACCACCUACCUGAGACCUCAGGUUACCCAUCACUGGACGCCGAUCCCAACUCACGCUACUCCCGCCCGUACAAAUUGUUCCAGUGGGACGGUCCGGUGUCGACGCGCUGCCAUACCACACCGACGGGAACCUCAGCCAAGCAUUAACCGGGCGUCGGUCAGCUUCCUACAGCGUCGCGCCCUUGAUUCCAUCCCUCCUGAUCGAGUGUAUUACAAAGGGCAUUUAAGGAAGGGAAUGUUCCCAGCCAACCGUUCAAGCUUCUAGAGUGUACAAAUCUCAGCAACGACACCAACUAACCCCGCAUUACAGCCUCCCCUUCCUCCCCGAACAAGACGUGCUGAGACGACCACGGGCCCUUCGUGUAUCCACCAGCAGUAGCGGGGCGCCAACUUCCACCCAGCUGUCAAGUUUUAAUACUCAGUAGCCUAGAAGACGACCGACCCGUCACAUCCUACACGUAACUCGCCUCACUCGGAAGGAACUUAGCCAAGCUGCCAAUCAUUCUGUCUCACAACGGGGAGGAAAAGAAAAUUCUUGAACCUCUGUAGCAAGUAUGUACAUCCUAGUGAAGUCAUUUUCUCAGUGAGUGUCGUGAGAGAGACAUUGAAAAGUUUUCUCUAAAUAAGCCAGCAGUGUUGUAUGUGUUGCGUUUGAACCAUGUGGAUCCCAUUGGUCCUACGGUGGUGGCUGUUGGGCGCGGCCGCUGCCCUCAGUAUCUGCCUCACCUCGCCUGCCCUCGCCAACUUUCUCCAGGGUAAGUACUCACUGCCCUCACGUUUCCCAGGUACUG